RNAcentral lists this ribosomal RNA (253 nucleotides) under uncultured bacterium. RNAcentral describes it as "partial 16S ribosomal RNA". It matches the Rfam family "Bacterial small subunit ribosomal RNA", at positions 524 to 776 of the family's 1533-position model. The record is from RNAcentral.
UACGGAGGGUGCAAGCAUUAAUCGGAUUUAUUGGGCGUACAGGGCGCGUAGGCGGAAAUGUAAGUCAGAUGUGAAAUCCCGGGGCUCAACUCCGGAACUGCAUUUGAAACUACAUUCCUUGAGGGUAGGCGGAGAAAACGGAAUUCCACAAGUAGCGGUGAAAUGCGUAGAUAUGUGGAAGAACACCUGUGGCGAAAGCGGUUUUCUAGCUUACUCCUGACGCUAAGGCGCGAAAGUUAGGGGAGCAAACAGG